Molecule: ribosomal RNA, 434 nt
Filed under: uncultured Delftia sp.
Lineage: Bacteria; Pseudomonadati; Pseudomonadota; Betaproteobacteria; Burkholderiales; Comamonadaceae
Description: bacterial SSU rRNA
Rfam family: Bacterial small subunit ribosomal RNA
Source: RNAcentral
UGGGGAAUUUUGGACAAUGGGCGAAAGCCUGAUCCAGCAAUGCCGCGUGCAGGAUGAAGGCCUUCGGGUUGUAAACUGCUUUUGUACGGAACGAAAAAGCUCCUUCUAAUACAGGGGGCCCAUGACGGUACCGUAAGAAUAAGCACCGGCUAACUACGUGCCAGCAGCCGCGGUAAUACGUAGGGUGCGAGCGUUAAUCGGAAUUACUGGGCGUAAAGCGUGCGCAGGCGGUUAUGUAAGACAGAUGUGAAAUCCCCGGGCUCAACCUGGGAACUGCAUUUGUGACUGCAUGGCUAGAGUACGGUAGAGGGGGAUGGAAUUCCGCGUGUAGCAGUGAAAUGCGUAGAUAUGCGGAGGAACACCGAUGGCGAAGGCAAUCCCCUGGACCUGUACUGACGCUCAUGCACGAAAGCGUGGGGAGCAAACAGGAUUAG